Molecule: ribosomal RNA, 280 nt
Filed under: uncultured Acholeplasma sp.
Lineage: Bacteria; Bacillati; Mycoplasmatota; Mollicutes; Acholeplasmatales; Acholeplasmataceae
Description: partial 16S ribosomal RNA
Rfam family: Bacterial small subunit ribosomal RNA
Source: RNAcentral
AACCCUUAUUGCUAGUUACCAUCAUUAAUUGGGGACUCUAGCGAGACUGCCAGUGAUAAACUGGAGGAAGGUGGGGAUGACGUCAAAUCAUCAUGCCCCUUAUGACCUGGGCUACAAACGUGAUACAAUGGCUGAAACAAAGGGCAGCGAAGCAGUGAUGUGGAGCGAAACCCAAAAAAGCAGUCUCAGUUCGGAUUGAAGUCUGCAACUCGACUUCAUGAAGUCGGAAUCGCUAGUAAUCGCGGAUCAGAACGCCGCGGUGAAUAUGUCCCUGCUCCUU